GGCAGCUGCACCACCCACCUCCCACAAAGCCCUGGCAAGCCCUCCCUGCCCACUCCACUCACUGGAGCCUUGCCUGUUCUUGGACUUCACGUGAAUGGAAUCGCACUGUCCGUCCUCCUCUGUGUCGGGCUCGUUCACUCAGCGUGAGGAUGUCCAGACCCUUCAGCUGUUCACUGCCUUGGGUCACCAGGCAGCAUCCCGCCGCACAGCUCGUGAGUCAUCCCCUCCUGCUGCACGCCUGGCAGGGUUGGCCACUCUUGGAAGAGCUGCUUGCUACCAACAUGCAUGUUCAGGGCACCGGUCAGCUCUUUUGUGGAAUGCCCCUUAAUUUGGACGUGUCUGAUGUUUUCUCCGGAUGAGAAUGAGCUCAUACAUUUUGGCAAGAAGCGAUGUGUCCUCCGGCAUCGUAACGGGGACAACGCGGCAUCCAUCUGUCUCAUGGCCAGUGACGUUAACCUUGAUGCCAGGAUAAGGUGGAUUUCUCCAUGGCAAGACUCCAGUCCAUGACCUUCCCUGAGUUCCAAAGGGUGGAUUCGAACAGUUGCUAAUCAAGGGCGGAGCAGCCAGGAAACCACCUGAGGCGAGAUUAAAGGGACCUGAGAAGCUCAUCAAGAUUCGGAGAGCGACCACCUGAGAUGAGAUGAGUACAAGCCUUGCACACACCCUGAUCUUGUCAGCAACCCCUCCCUUGAA
Molecule: long non-coding RNA, 693 nt
Organism: Balaenoptera acutorostrata (minke whale)
Lineage: Eukaryota; Metazoa; Chordata; Mammalia; Artiodactyla; Balaenopteridae
Exons: 3
Source: RefSeq, a predicted model, not a curated record